Molecule: ribosomal RNA, 484 nt
Filed under: uncultured bacterium
Lineage: Bacteria
Description: partial 16S ribosomal RNA
Rfam family: Bacterial small subunit ribosomal RNA
Source: RNAcentral
AUUGAACGCUGGCGGCAGGCCUAACACAUGCAAGUCGAGCGGAUGAAGGGAGCUUUCUCCUGGCUUCCGCGGCGGACGGGUGAGUGAUGCCUAGGAAUCUGCCUGGUCGUGGGGGAUAACGUCCGUUAACGGGCGCUAAUACCGCAUACGUCCUGAGGGUGAAAGUGGGGGAUCUUCGGACCUCACGCGAUCAGAUGAGCCUAGGUCGGAUUAGCUAGUUGGUGGGGUAAAGGCCUACCAAGGCGACGAUCCGUAACUGCUCUGAGAGGAUGAUCCGUCACACUGGAACUGAGACACGGUCCAGACUCCUACGGGAGGCAGCAGUGGGGAAUAUUGGGCAAUGGGCGAAAGCCUGAUCCAGCCAUGCCGCGUGUGUGAAGAAGGUCUUCGGAUUGUAAAGCACUUUAAGUUGGGAGGAAGGGCAGUAAGUUAAUACAUUGCUGUUUUGACGUUACCAACAGAAUAAGCACCGGCUAACUACGUG